ACAGGAGGUCUGUUGGGGGGUGCCAGCUCAGCUUUAGGCAAGUAUAGUAUGGCAAAUAUUGCUUACUUAGGUAACUGCAAGGAGGGGUCACAGAAUGACCAGCGCAAUCACUGCCAGAACACAUGAAACAUGUUGAAAUAGCUUGCUGAU
Molecule: long non-coding RNA, 150 nt
Organism: Gopherus evgoodei (Goodes thornscrub tortoise)
Lineage: Eukaryota; Metazoa; Chordata; Testudines; Testudinidae
Exons: 3
Source: RefSeq, a predicted model, not a curated record